UGAGUCUACCCGCACAGAAAUGAUGGGCAUUCUAGCCUGCAAGCCUAGAGAAGCACUUGCAAGAAAUCUCACUGCUCUCAUCACAGCCUCUCUGGAAGACGAACCUACACUCAAUUCUCAAAACAUUUUUCCUUGAAUACAAUGAAACAUGCAACAAGUAGAAGUAGGAAGGAUUGAUGACCAAAGAAGACAGUGAUAAUGUUUUAUUUUCAAGAUGAUGUUUGCUUCAUCUUAGAAGAACAAUAACAAAAUUUUGAAUGGGAAGAUUCCAAUCAAAGCUUUCACUCCUCAACAACCCAGCUACUCAGGAGGCUGAGGCAGGAGAAUUUCCUGAAUCUGGGAGGCGGAGGUUCCAGUGAGCCAAGAUCAUGCCACUGCACUCCAGCAUGGGUGACAGAGGGUUAAGCCCAAAGCUGCAGAUCAAAAUUUUGCCACCAUGAAGAAAAGAGGAAAUCAGAAUUGGAUCCUUUAUGAACUUUUCCUUUACAGGAGCCAGUAUAUGCCCUUUCCUACUUGUGCAAGUAUAAACAAGGUUCCUUUGAUUUGCAACCAAGUAUCCUGAAAAACACAAGGAUUAAAGACAAGUGUAUUUCAAUAAAGAAAAGAAAAUAGUUUAUUUUUAUGAGUAGUAGAUUUAAGAAAACCUAUAUUACUGUGACAAGAGUACCUUAAAAUAUUUAAGUCUACAAAAGGCACUUAGGGACUUUAUGGCAAACUCUACACUUAAUAAUGAAAAGCCAGACCAGACCAUUUUAAAAAACUUUACUGCACCAGAUAAUGGCACAUCCACUCAUUCAAUUAACAUUUAUUGAGUAUCUUCAGGGUUUUUAGAUGUGUGCAAUAAAAAUGAUAAAAGCGUAUUCUUCGGUUUGAGCUGGUUCAUCCAAGUUCAUUCCAUAAAGAGCAGCUGUGUAUGCUGUUCAGACUAAUUGUGUGAAGUUGGAGAGGCCAGGUGUUUCUGUCUAGCCCAACAGCUGCAGUUGGUGGUAAGGGCACCACCUGAAUUUCAGUCUGACCAUAAAAUGAGGCUGAUGAAACAGCACCUUGCAUGAGCUUUUAGGUGAAAGACAGAACAGAACAUGUUUAGAAUUCUUCUCCCUUCUAAUAAAACAUCCAUUAACGUUUAUGAAGGAGUCUGGAUGAGGCAUUGUGCCAGACCCUCUUUUCUUUCUUUACUUUCCACAAGAAAACUCCACCAAUAGUAUGGGUUCAACUGUUAUUCAUGCACCUAUACUCUAUGAAAAUAUGCCAAAAUUGUCACCUCCUGCCUUAUUACCUCUUGAUCCCCCAUGGCUAGGCCUAAAUAAAUG
This is a long non-coding RNA of Callithrix jacchus (white-tufted-ear marmoset), 1310 nucleotides long. RefSeq lists it as uncharacterized. NCBI's taxonomy places the organism in Eukaryota, Metazoa, Chordata, Mammalia, Primates, Cebidae. The record is from RefSeq and is a predicted model, not a curated record.